Molecule: microRNA, 22 nt
Filed under: Heligmosomoides polygyrus
Lineage: Eukaryota; Metazoa; Nematoda; Chromadorea; Rhabditida; Heligmosomidae
Description: hpo-miR-5932-5p
Source: miRBase by way of RNAcentral
CUUCUAACCAUAGCCAAAAUCG